This 468-nucleotide ribosomal RNA is filed under the name uncultured bacterium. Its description in RNAcentral is "partial 16S ribosomal RNA". It matches the Rfam family "Bacterial small subunit ribosomal RNA", at positions 28 to 507 of the family's 1533-position model. The record is from RNAcentral.
GACGAACGCUGGCGGCGUGCUUAACACAUGCAAGUCGAACGGAAAGGCCCUGCUUUUGUGGGGUGCUCGAGUGGCGAACGGGUGAGUAACACGUGAGUAACCUGCCCUUGACUUUGGGAUAACUUCAGGAAACUGGGGCUAAUACCGGAUAGGAGCUCCUGCUGCAUGGUGGGGGUUGGAAAGUUUCGGCGGUUGGGUAUGGACUCGCGGCUUAUCAGCUUGUUGGUGGGGUAGUGGCUUACCAAGGCUUUGACGGGUAGCCGGCCUGAGAGGGUGACCGGCCACAUUGGGACUGAGAUACGGCCCAGACUCCUACGGGAGGCAGCAGUGGGGAAUAUUGCACAAUGGGCGGAAGCCUGAUGCAGCAACGCCGCGUGCGGGAUGACGGCCUUCGGGUUGUAAACCGCUUUCGCCUGUGACGAAGCGUGAGUGACGGUAAUGGAUAAAGAAGCACCGGCUAACUACGUG